Molecule: ribosomal RNA, 253 nt
Filed under: uncultured bacterium
Lineage: Bacteria
Description: partial 16S ribosomal RNA
Rfam family: Bacterial small subunit ribosomal RNA
Source: RNAcentral
UACGUAGGGUGCGAGCGUUGUCCGGAAUUAUUGGGCGUAAAGGGCUUGUAGGCGGUUUGUCGCGUCUGCUGUGAAAAUUCGGGGCUUAACCCCGGACGUGCAGUGGGUACGGGCAGACUAGAGUGUGGUAGGGGAGACUGGAAUUCCUGGUGUAGCGGUGAAGUGCGCAGAUAUCAGGGAGAACACCGAUGGCGAAGGCAGGUCUCUGGACCACGACUGACGCUGAGAAGCGAAAGCAUGGGGAGCGAACAGG